RNAcentral lists this ribosomal RNA (440 nucleotides) under uncultured bacterium. RNAcentral's name for it is "partial 16S ribosomal RNA". It matches the Rfam family "Bacterial small subunit ribosomal RNA", at positions 338 to 795 of the family's 1533-position model. The record is from RNAcentral.
CCUACGGGAGGCAGCAGUGGGGAAUCUUCCACAAUGGGGGAAACCCUGAUGCAGCGACGCCGCGUGAGUGAAGAAGUACUUCGUUAUGUAAAGCUCUAUCAGCCGGGAAGAAAAUGACGGUACCUGAGUAAGCAGCCCCGGCUAACUACGUGCCAGCAGCCGCGGUCAUACGUAGGGUGCACGCGUUCGCCGGAUUUACUGGGUGUAACGGGAGCGUAGACGGAAGUGCAAGUCUGGAGUGAAAGGCGGGGGCUCAACCCCCGGACUGCACUGGAAACUGUACGGCUGGAGUGCAGGAGAGGUGAGUGGACUUCCAUGUGUAGCGGGGAAAUGCGUAGAUAUUAGGAGGAACACCAGUGGCGAAGGCGGCUUACUGGACUGUAACUGACGUUGAGGCUCGAAAGCGUGGGGAGCAAACAGGAUUAGAUACCCGUGUAGUC